CCCUCCAUCAGCUCAGAAGAUUGAGCAGCGGUCUUCCGAACCGCGUGCCCAGGUUCGAGUCCUGGUGGGGGAA
This 73-nucleotide transfer RNA is filed under the name Chloroflexota bacterium. RNAcentral describes it as "Chloroflexi bacterium tRNA-Gly". It matches the Rfam family "tRNA". Rfam says of the family: Transfer RNA (tRNA) molecules are approximately 80 nucleotides in length. Their secondary structure includes four short double-helical elements and three loops (D, anti-codon, and T loops). Further hydrogen bonds mediate the characteristic L-shaped molecular structure. tRNAs have two regions of fundamental functional importance: the anti-codon, which is responsible for specific mRNA codon recognition, and the 3' end, to which the tRNAs corresponding amino acid is attached (by aminoacyl-tRNA synthetases). tRNAs cope with the degeneracy of the genetic code in two manners: having more than one tRNA (with a specific anti-codon) for a particular amino acid; and 'wobble' base-pairing, i.e. permitting non-standard base-pairing at the 3rd anti-codon position. The record is from RNAcentral. Lineage: Bacteria; Bacillati; Chloroflexota.